Molecule: long non-coding RNA, 11222 nt
Filed under: Nicotiana tabacum (common tobacco)
Lineage: Eukaryota; Viridiplantae; Streptophyta; Magnoliopsida; Solanales; Solanaceae
Description: long non-coding RNA (NTAB_LNC017248)
Source: RNAcentral
UUCUCUUUACCCGAAUGCAGUGCUCAGUUUUUUCCACCUCUCCUUCAAAAGUUUUGUUCUGUUACCGAUUCUCCAUGCUAAAUCGAUAUAUCUUGAUUUUUCGAUAAAAAUUUCAGUAUUGCUUAGGUCUUAUGCUAUCGAAUAUCUGACGGAUUUCAGUUCCAGUUCCAGUUCCAACUAGAGGGUUUUUUUGGGGGGAAAAGGAGGGUAGUGAAAGAGAUAGAAUUCUAAUGGUGCUAGGUUCUAGGUUAUUUUAUCAGUUUGCCAUAAUUAUUUCACUGCCUUGAUCUCACCAAAUUGUAUAUAACUUCGACGUUGUGGUAAAUCUUUUCUACUUUACACUUUGAUGUUAAUUUCUCAGUUAAGGGAUAGAAAAAGAGCUUAGUACGAUAGCUUAUUACAUGUUUCUUGGUUGACACUUUAGAGCGAAGCUCGAUCAAUUAGCUUUGGUUUAGCUGAGAAGAUGAAAAGAUCAUCCAGAUUCAAAUACCACCUCUUUUGCUUAAAUUUUUUUCUGUAACAUUUGAAAGUGCAUAAUCAAAUCCUAAGACUUUGGUUUAAUAUAUGUGAUUUAGUUAAUUUUGACUUUCUAAUUAAGUCGCCUCUAUUAACAAAUAUUUUGCAUUGUCAAACAUAUGAUACAUAAUAGUGAAGCUAAUGUGUAUCAUAUUUGUGAACUUGACGUCCUAUGUUUUAUAAAAUGAUUUAUUUGAUACGCUUUUGCAGAGUAAAUUGUUACCUUACAAUUAUAUUCACUUAAUUGACCAUCAACUUUAUUGCAUCGUCCAGAUAACUUAUCUACUACUUGGAAUUUUUUAAUAUAGGCAAUUAAUUGCACGGUCUACUUCAUUUUUUGGCGAUUCUAUAAUAGGCUGAUGCACCUUGAAUUUUCACAAUUUUUGUUUCAAUCAUUUUCUUUUUGAUGAAAUUGUUUCAAUCAUUUUCUUUCUGUCUCUAUAUUGUAUUUGCAUGUAUUUAUAGUCUUAAAUUCUGCUUAAGUGAUGUGACAAGAUAAUGAUUUCUUCCAUACCUUGGUCAUUAGAUUUAUCAGAAUACCAUACAUUUGCUUUAAUUGGUUUUGGGGGGGUUUCUUCGCGAGUGGUGGAGGGGAUUAGAACUAGCUUAUGGUUUUCAGAAGCUUCUUUUUUUUUUUUUUGAAGCUCUAUCAUUUAUAUUUGGUAGAUGAUAAGUUUUUCAUUUCCAAGGUGCAAUUGAUAAUGUUUGUGCUGUCAAUUAUUUUCGAUAGGGCCCCUUUAUGUGUCAUCCGUCUUCACGUGAUCUUUCAAAGACAGGGAUCAUAUUUUAUCUUUUUGCAUUGACAUGAUACUAAACUGCAGAUAUUAGGUGCUUAAACAAGAAUUAUCUUCAAAAUCUCAAAUUUAACGUCUUUUUACCUAAGAGAUUAUCAAAAAGAAGGUUGACAGAUUGGCAUUGUAACUCUCUUCAUUUUCCUUUGUCUUGUGGAUUCUGAGAUAAAGAGGAGAAAAAAAAAUUAGAACUUUAUGAACAUGUUCUUGUGACAUUAUGGAUUUCUUCCACCCUUAGAAUUUUAUUUCUCUUGCUAAUUUUUCUUUUAUUUGAUUACUUAGCCAAGAAAUUAUUUAAUGUCUAAAUCUACAUUUAAUUUUUGUAAGAAUAAAUUUGUUGAGUAUUGAGAGGUGUUUUUUAGGAUCUUAAAUAUGAUGUUUACAUCAACACUACGGCAGAGAUCAUGGUUCCUUGAGAUGUUUGUAGCUCUGAAUAUGCGAGAAUGGGAGCACUGGUACAUUAGCUUUUCUCCUUUAUUAAUUGGUGUAGUGGGAAUACACAGAAUAGUUCAAAAUUGUACCUUGACUUCUUAGUUUAAGAACUUGAGAAAGUAAUCAGGAGAUGGAUUUUGUUAAAACUCCUUUUUCUAGCCUUACUCAAAUUCAAACAGGGAGUCCAAAUGCUGAAGAAAAAGAGAGGUAGACAACUAGGGAUACAAGUGAGGAUCAAACUCAAGUUGGCUUUUCAAGAUCGUCAGGUCAGUAUGCGAUUAUCAGGAAUGAAACUUCUAAUAUUCUUGGUGCUGCUUGUGUGAUUAAGCUUAAGUUUAUUUUGGCUCAAAUUUCUCAAUAGGCAAAUCUCCUUUUGUUCAUACUAUAUUUCCGUACAAUAAACUAAACUAGAAUGCUUUCAUUUCCCUUGGCCAAUAAGUUUAUUUUGAAAUAAAGACACUAAUCAACUUUUGGCUUAAGGGUUCUUGUGAUGACUUUAAUAAGGCAGGUGCCGAGACCAAUGAAAUAUUUUUAAUUUUUUGAGAAACCAUUAAGCUAGGUGGGGAUUCAUUUGGAUAUCUAACCUAUUACAUCCUCUAUUCUAUUUUUAAUAGAAUAGAUUGGCUUUUAAAGUUGAAACUGAAAUUACUGUUUAACUUAUUCAACAUUGCAUCCAAUGAGGUCAAACUAAAUUCUUAAAGCUCGAAAGUCAUUCAUUCUUAUCAGACUAGGAGAAAUGUCGUGAUACUUAAUCUGUGCUCAUAUUUCUUACUGGGCAGGAGCAUUACUUAUGCUACUUUGUGAAAUAAUAUAUGAGGUCAUUGGUGUUUACUGGCAUCUAGAAUUUGGGAGGCCCUCUGAUUCACUUUUGAGAUCACAAUGUUGUUUGCUAUUAAGUAUGUGUCAAAAUAGACACAUCUCUGCUAAAAUGUGAAAUUGGCAGAAUGCGUAUCUAAAAGAAUUAAACCCGUAGAUUUUUAAAUAAACGAUUUGAAUAAGAACCUACAACAAUAAACUCAGUAUAAUCCCACAUAGUGGGGUCUGGGGAUUUGAAUAAGAAACUCCUAUUAUAUUUUUAGAACCACAAGAUUUCAACUGAUAUGAGCUUUAAGCUACUUGAUUAUGCUUUCACGCUAUUAUUUUGCUAUUUGGGAUAUAUUCUUGAUUUUGCUUUCUUAACACUGCAUUACCACUGAAAGUACAAGUAUUCAUUGCUUCUCUUCACUAUUCUGAUGCCAGUAGGCAUUCUACUAAUAAUAGUACUGGUGCAAAUGGCAUUUCGAUGCAAGAUAUUUGGUGUGGACAGAGAUCACUCGAUUUAGGCCAUGUAUUUGCCGACACCAAUAUUUGGAGAAAGGUUUCUGCAACAUCCAAGUUCCCUUCCAGACAGGAUAAUAUGCCAUACAACUAUUUUCCUAUGUGUUUAUACUAAUACUAAUGUCCAAGAUGAGUUGCAAUAUCCUGAUAACAAUUUUCUUGAACUUAUUCUUCAUGAUUUAUUUACUUUCUGGUGAAAGAAACUUACCCUGAGUACAUUGGUCAUAUGGCUAUUAUAGGCAUAUGUUGAAAUGACAUAUUUUAAUCUGUUGUGUCCUUUCAUGUAGCAUAAUCCUGAUGGAUCUGAUUCCCUAUGGAAUCUAUCUUCUUCUUCCUUUCAGUAAUAGUGUUCCUUGCUGUGACAUUAUGGUUAUGCAGGUUUCCUGUUUGCUCGAGAUCGUAUUGCAAUAUCUUAUUUCUGGGAAACGCUAAAUCAGUAGGUACGCAAAUGGCAACCUAGUGUUGAAAUUAUUUUCAGAUAUUUUCUUGUGUGUGGCUAAAAUUCUCUAAUUAUAGGUGCCUUCAAUUGUGAUGCCUAAAUUUAUUAAAACAAGAUGGUAAGAAAAAGUCGUACCACUUUUAUGAGUUUUUUGUAAGGGAUAUUUGUAUACAGUCGAAAUCGGGCUCCUCUAUUGCAUGACAGAUCGGGAUAAAAAAAAUAGAUUAAAGAUCGACUCCGGGCUCCAUCGAACUAGGGUACGAGGUUAGAACACCUGUCUUCGGGAUCAUUAAAUCCAUGACCCCGGAAUCGACCCCGACUCCGAAUGAGCUCGAGGAAAUAUUGUCGGACCAAAUAAUGGGAAGCCAAAAUAUCCGUAACCGGUCGGGUAUCACGGCGGAAAUCUCAGCAUGUAUUAAUGAGAAACCGGUUAAUUAGCAAAUCAUAAGAUUUUUUACCUUUUAUAGAAUUGUACCUAAAGUAGGAUUCCCCUACUAUAUAAAGGGGGUCUGAUUAUUUGUAAAACACAUUGCAACACGCAGCCAAAGUAUUAUAAUAUAAUUUCUUCCUGCAAGCUACUGUUCUUCUGUAUCUGAUAUUAUUUGAAUUACAUCCAGUUUGAGUGAGACUUAUUUUUCAAGGUUAUAACUGUUCAAAUCAUACGGUUUGAAUUUACUUUAUUAUUGUUUGCGUUAUUUAUAAUUCAAUUUAUCGCUUUGUGUCAAAUUAACCCAUGUAUCCUUAAAAUCACUUAUAAAUUCAAUUGUUAUCCGAUUUUAAAGGUAAACAGUUUGGCGUCCAUCGUGGGGCUAAGAAUAAUAGUAGUUAUUUGAUACAAAUUUUCAUAAUACACACUAUUUUACACUGGUUCUUUGAAGUGUCUCUAAUUUCAGGCUUAAGCUCAAAAUGUCAAACUCACAAUUAACACCUCUACCUGCUGACAAUGAGUCAGGUCACCACGGUGAAAACAAAAACAUAGCGCCCGGUAACGAGGUACCACCCGUUGAUUCCAUCAGAAUUUUAAUUGCGGAAUUCCGGACCCGUUGGACGCUAAUUCGCAUGUGGCUAUCGACACAAGCCUCCCUACUGGCCCCGAGAAUAGCAUUCAUGGUGGAGCCCGGUCGACAACACAAAAUACUCAAAAUAAUGGAGGAGACGAGAUCAAUCUACGGAUGGUCUUCGAAAUGUUACAGGCUCAACAGACGGUGAUAGCUCAGUUACAAAACCAGAGUCGCGUACCGAGCAGAAUCGAGCUCGAUCUGUCUCGAGAGAUCACCCUCAGGGAGGUACCGGUCGCGGAGAGAUCGAGUCGAGUAAUAACCUCGAGAUCAUAAAAAUGCUCGAGAAGCUGACACAACGAAUAGAAUCAAGGGAAAAGAAAAUCGAAGCAAACGACAAAAAGGUGGAAGCCUACAAUUCCAGGAUCAACCAGAUCCCAGGAGCGCCGCUGAUACUGAAAGGCUUGGAUUCCAAGAAGUUUGUACAGAAACCUUUCCCUCUGAGCGCGGCUUCAAAGUCGAUCCCUAAAAAAUUCCGCAUGCCCGAGAUUCCUAAGUACAACGGAACAACUGACCCAAACGAGCAUGUAACUUCAUACACAUGCGCCAUCAAAGGAAAUGACUUGGAGGAUGAUGAGAUCGAGUCUAUCUUGCUGAAGAAAUUCGGAGAAACCCUGUCAAAGGAAGCUAUGAUAUGGUAUCACAACUUACCCCCUGAUUCUAUUGACUCAUUUACUAUGCUUGCAGACACUUUUGUGAAAGCGCACGCUGGGGCUAUCAAGGUCGAAACUAGGAAGUCGGACCUCUUCAAAGUAAGGCAAAAGGAUAAUGAAAUGCUAGGAGAGUUCGUAUCUCGGUUUCAAAUGGAACGGAUGGACCUGCCACCGGUCGCUUAUGAUUGGGCCGUUCAAGCUUUUACCCAAGGAUUCAAUGUUCGAAGUUCGGUGGCUUCAUAGUAGUUGAAUGCCGGCAGUGGAUUCUGGGAAAGCACGUUUGAUUGCACCGUCCCAUACAUUGUCUCAUCCAAUCCCAACAGGAAAAGAUGUACCUUCUCCUCUUCCUUUUUCUUCUCCAAAAUUGUACCAAGAUUACAAGUGCAGUUUCUGCACUUUCAAGUCGGAAUCUACUCGAGAUUCGCUAGCUCUUCCUAUAGUUUCAUCAGUUUGCCACGGUAAUCAACUAUGGCCAAACCCUUUUGUUUGCAUUCUGCAAGAUCUUCCUUCAUAUUGUAUCUUGGACCAUUGCUUAUGGAAAAACGCUCCCUAAUACAUGCCCAUAAGUCUUCGACGACCUCCACAUGCGAGAUAGUCGAAUGGAGAGUGGUUUCGAUCGUAUUUUGUAUCCACAACACCAACAAUGAAUUAAUGAUCCACCAAUCUUCAAGGUCUGAAGACUUCUCCUCCGUUCUUUUGAUCAUCCCGUUAACAAAAAUCGAACUUCUUUAUUUCCCUCAACUUGGUCCUCAUAGACCUAGCCCAUUCAUCAUAAUUUUCUCCCUUCAAUUGAACUUGCGUUAUCAGAAUCUUAGGGUUGUCGUUCGAAGUUAUCAUAUGGAAAAAUUGUUUUUCGUCGGUUUGUUCCAUUGGCGUCACAGCUUCCUCCAGCAGUAUUGUCGUCUUUUUGUCGCCGGGGUCAUGGGUGAUUAACGGAGGUAAUUUAGGUAGGCUCUGAUAUCAUGCUAAAUCAAAGAGGCACGACUAGUGGAGAGAAAAACUGCUCUGCGCUCUGCCUUUUUCUUUGAUAGUAUGCCCUAUAUAUAUAGUAAGAUAAGAAGUAACCCUAAGUACCCUAAAACUAGGUUAACUAAUUAUAGAAUAUUACCAUAUUUAUAAAGAAUCACGGCUUGGCAUAGUGAGUGCGCCACACCCAUAUAACACUGAAUUUGGGUGCUAUAUUAGGUGCUGGGCACUGAGGAUAGCAUUGACUUUAGGUGCUAUAUUGGAUGCUAGGCAUUGAGGAUAGCACCCAAGAUAUACACACGCUAAUAUAUGUUUUUGUAUAAAACCACACCGAACUACUCGAUACAUUAUUUGCUUGGUCACUUAUUUUGCAGAAUGUAAACAUAAUAUAUAGAGUUUAACUAUGACAGAGAUGAGGACUAGAGAAGUACAGUACAAGGAAAUAACAACAGCUGUUAUCCAGCAGACUUAAUUUGACUUGCUUCCAACUUCAUCAGAUUGAUGCAAUAGUCUUUGACAUGCUUCCAACUUCAUUUGAAUAAUACGGUCUAGUGCUUUUAAAAUGGCUACUUCGGCUGCUACGGUAUCAACUGUCAGGGUUAUUUGACUUAUUUCACAAAAACAUAACACAUUUGUUCCUUCCUAUUCACUUUUUACCUUAUCUGCUUCUUCAUCCUUCUCUCAGGUUCAUUACUGGCCAACAAGCUUUAUAUUUUAUAUUUUCUCUUAAGUGAUUUUUGUUGGUAAAUGUUUACAACAAAUUAUUUGUGAUAUAAAAAUAAAUUGCAACCACAAUAUAAAUAUGAAGAAGCACAAUUUUAUUAAUAAACAAUGCAGGUACAAUUCCGUUUGUUCCCUUGAUUCUUCUCCCCUGAUUAUCUCCAUGGUUCGAGGGUUGGAGCAACUUGUUUCUUGAAUGUAGAUUAAUAAUUCUAUGGCUACCAAGAACAAGAGACAGCUGUUACGACCCGGAAUUCCCACCGUCGGGAUCGUGAUGACGCCUAACAUUUCACUUGCUAGGCAAGUCAACGUUAGAACAGUUUAUCCAUUUUUAACAGUUUGAAUUAAAUACUGAGAAAGAACUGAAAUAAUCUAAAAUAUAAAUGCGGAAGCUGAAACUGCCAAACAUCUACCAGAAAUUCCUGAACCCGGUGUCACAAGUGCACGAGCUACUAGAAUAAUACAUACAAGGGUCUGAAAUAAAUACAAAGCUGUCUGAAUGAAAUUGCACAGCUAAAUAAAAGGAAGAGAAUGGGACUCUAGGAGCUGCGGGCAAUGAGCAGUUGUACCUCAAGUCUGCAUACGAUGUCCAAUCCGAGCUUAUUAAUAACUGCUGCUGGGACCGACUCCAAAAUCUGCACAAGAUGUGCAGAGUGUAGUAUGAGUACAAUCGACCCCAUGUACUUUGUAUGUGCCGAGCCUAACCUUGAAAGUAGUGAUGAGGCUAAGGCGGGUCACCUACACUACAACCCGUACGCAGUAUAUAAUAAUGACAAAAUAGAAAUAUAGAAUAGGAUAAAAUAGUCAACUGAGAAUAAUAGCUACAACCUCAAGAAAUAAACUAGAGUUGUUCAGAAUUACCAAUCCUUAGCAUUUUAAGUGAGAAUACCAUAAGCCAAUACAACUCAAGAAAUAGAAACACAUAGGUUGUUGCUGUGCGCAACCCGAUCUCACCGUACAACACAGAAUCCUCCCUUAUUUUACCUUAAUAACAUCAACAAUAGAGAUAAUAUAUAAAUGUUGCGGCACGCAACCCGAUCCCACCAUAUAUCAAUAUCAGUAUCAUAAUUCACCCUUAUUCUACCUGUUGCGGCAUGCAAUCCGAUCCCACCGUACAGUAUGAAUUCAUCCUUAUUCCACCAUAUCAAUCCACCCUUAUUACUCUUGUUGCGGCGUGCAACUCGAUCCCACCAUAUUAGUACCAGAUACUCAAUGUGCACAGUCAAAUUAACAAUUCAAACCACGAAAACCAUUAUGAUCAAUAAAUACCAAACUGAACCAGAGAGGAAAAACCUUGUACAAUACAUGAAUCUACAUAAGUAAUACUACACGACGAGACCAAUCCAGUAAUUGACAAUUAGAAGGUGCAAGUAAGUCAAUUUAAGCAAAUAACAGAGAAUCAUGAAAUUGUGAAAAGAGCUAACAUCAUUAACAAGAGAAUAUAUUGAUUAACAGGUAACAAUUAAGCAUGGAACGCAUUUAGAGCAUAUAACAGUUAAGACGGGGAAGAAAAUAAUUAAGGAAAAGCAGAAAAUCAGGGGAAAACAGAUUAUUCGACGGCAUAUAAGUACUCGUCACCUCGCGUAUACGCUGCUCACAUGAGAUUCACAUAGCACAUAGUCCGAGGGUUCCUAAUUCCCUCAAGUCAAGAUUAGACACAAUACUUACCUCACUCCGCAGUCAAUUCAAAGCUCUACCGGGGCCUUUCCUCUAGAAUUCGCCUCCAAACCACUUGUAUCUAGCCACAAUUAACGCAAUAAUAUCAAAUAUUGCUAAAGGAAUAAAUUACAAUGUAUAAAUUUUGAGUUCCCAAACUUUUCCCCAAAAAGUCAAAAAUCAACCCCGGGCCCGCUUGGACAAAACUCGAGGUUCGACCAAAAUCCAUUUACCCAUUCACCCCCGAGCCUGGUUAUGUAAUUUGUUUCGAAAUCUGACCUCAAUUCGAGCUCUAAAUUCUAAAUUUACAAAAAUUUCUAAUUCUACCCGAACCCCCGAUUUUCACAAUGAAAAUCCUAGAUUUUAAGUUGAAAACUUAUGAAAUGCAAUAGGUUAUUGAAAGAAAGUAAGUUAGAAUCACUUACCAAUAAAUUGGAGAAGAAAAUCUCUUGGGAAAACCGCCUCUAGGUUUUCUAGUUUUUGAAAUUUUGAAAAAAAUGGCGAAAUCCCCUUUUUCUGGUCUGUUUUAAUCAGUGGCUUCAGGCCUUCUUCGCGUUCGCGAAGCGCUUGCCGUGAUUGCGAAGCAUCGGCUUAAAUAGCCUACGCGUUCGCGAGAUACCUUCGCUUUCGCGAAGGCUUAUACCCACCAGCCUACGCAUUCACGAGCCAUGUGUCCCGUUCGCGAAGAGUAUAGAUCAAUUCCCCUCCCCCAGGUCUCAUGCCUACGCGUUCGCUAGAGGCUGGUCACGUUCGCGAAGGGUAAUGCCCCCACUACUCCGCGUUCGCGACCCAACCUUCACGUUCGCGAAGAAGAAUUUUCACCUGGUCCCAGUUCACUCUUCGCGUUCGCGAAAGUACCUUCACGAACGCGAAGAAGGAAAGCUGAAGACACCUGAAGCUGCAGAAAAACCAGAUUUUCUAAGUUCAAUUCACUCCGUAGCCUAUCCGAAACUCACUCGAGCACUUGGGGCUCCAAAUCAAACAUGCACACAAGUUCAAAAAUAUCAUACGAACUUGCUCGCGUGAUCAAAUCACCAAAAUAACACCUAGAACUACGAAUUGAACACCAAAUCAAAUGAAAUUUUUAAGAAAACUUUAAAACUUCUAUUUUCACAACCGAACGUCCGAAUCACGUCAAACCAACUCAGUUUCUCACCAAAUUUGACAGAUAAGUCAUACAUAUAAUAAUGGACCUGUAUCAGACUCCGGAACAAAAAUACGGACCCGGUAUCAACAAGGCCAAACAUCAGUCAAUCUUUAAAAUCAUUAAACUUUCAAACUUUUAAUUUUCAACAAAAAUUAAUAACUCGAGCUAGGGACCUCCGAAUUUGAUUUCGGGCCCAGAUCUUAAAUUACGAUACAGGCCCACUGAAACCGUCAAAACACGAAUCCGGGUCCGUUUUCUCCAAACAUUGUCCAAAGUCAAUUCAAAUGAAUUUUAAGGCAAAUAUUUCGUAUUUUCUCAAUUUUUAACAAUAAAGCUUUCCGAAAAAAUACCCGAACUGCGCAUGCAAAUCGAUGAGGGUUAAGAUGAGGUAUUUAAGACUUCAAAACACGGAAUUAGGUUCUAAAAUAUAAGAUGACCUAUCGGGUCAUCACAUUCUCCACCUCUAAAACAACAUUUCGUCCUCGGGCUGGGCUUGGAAAGCAUAACAUCGGGGCUGGGCCCCACCACUCUAAGCUACAUCCUUAGGACAGCCUUCUGUUGGCUGACCUCUACCUCUAGCUCCCUAACUGCUACCUCUAACGACCUGAACCCUACCUCUGGCUGCCUGAACCCUACCUCUAGCUGGCUAAGCGAGAGAUGGUGCAACCGGUGCCGAAAUCAUGGCACGAGAACUUUGCUGUGGCGUGCCGCCCAAUAAUCUCGGACAAGUCCUCAUGAUAUGCCCAAAACCACCACACUCAUAACAUCCAUCCUGGUGUUGUGGCUGCUGAAACUGAGACUGGCCCAAACGGGCCGGAUAAACACGGUAGUAACUCUAAAUAGGAGGUGUACUGAUAGGAGCUGGCGGUGCACUGUAGGUUGGCUGCCCAGAAUGAGGCACAUAAAGACCACGACUCCCUGAAGCAUUGUGGGAUGCAUGAAGCAUUGACUGAUAUGGCCUGUGAGGAUGACCCCUAUCAAAAGUACCCCUGCCUCUAGAUGAGGUGAUAAGUUGGUAUUUUACCAACUUAUCUUGCCUUUAAGCCUAUAUUUUUGCUAUGUUUGAGUGAUAAAAUCAUGUGUUUAAUGUCAUUUACUUCUAUUUUAUAGGUUCUUUGUGAUUUAGAAGUGAUUAUGAAGAAACCAAAUGAAAACGAGUGAAAAAGACAUUGAUAAGAAGAAAAUCUGAAAAACGGCCUUAGAUGUCGCAAUUGCGACACAUUUCUGGGAAAUGCGAAGAAAGCAGACAUGGGAAUUACGAGUAAUCCAUCGCAAUUGCGAAGUAACCCCAGUCAAGCUGUGUUCGCAAAUGCAAAAUCAAACCAGGUAGUCAACCUUCGCAAAUGCGAAGUCUUGAUCGCAAAUGCGAAAGUUAACAGGAUAGUCAAAGUUCGCAAAUGUGAAUAUCACGCUGCAGUUCUGGGCAAUUAUGACAUUUCACAUUUUCUGGCCCCAAACCCUUUAAUACACAAACCAGCUCAUUUGAAAUAUAUCUUUGGCUUAUUUUCAGUCCUCAAGACUAGAGAG